GCGGGUGUAGCUCAGCGGUAGAGCACCAGCUUGCCAUGCUGGGUGUCGAGGGUUCGAAUCCCUUCACCCGCUCCA
Molecule: transfer RNA, 75 nt
Filed under: Candidatus Brocadiaceae bacterium
Lineage: Bacteria; Pseudomonadati; Planctomycetota; Candidatus Brocadiia; Candidatus Brocadiales; Candidatus Brocadiaceae
Description: tRNA-Gly
Rfam family: tRNA
About the family: Transfer RNA (tRNA) molecules are approximately 80 nucleotides in length. Their secondary structure includes four short double-helical elements and three loops (D, anti-codon, and T loops).
Source: RNAcentral